Molecule: transfer RNA, 21 nt
Filed under: Coregonus albula (vendace)
Lineage: Eukaryota; Metazoa; Chordata; Actinopteri; Salmoniformes; Salmonidae
Description: partial tRNA-Gln
Source: RNAcentral
CUUCUCUCUAGAAUUGAGGGG